CGGAGGCGGAGCCGGGGGAGUCGGAGUCGGAGCUGGAGGACGAAACCUUCAACCCCUCGGAGGAGGAUGAGGAGGAGGAGGAGGACAGCGAUGAAGAUUACUCGUCCGAGGCCGAGGAGUCAGAAUACUCCAAGGACUCGCUGGGCUCGGAGGAGGAGAGCGGGAAGGACUGGGACGAGCUGGAGGAGGAGGCGCGCAAAGCCGACCGCGAGAGCCAAUACGAGGAGGAGGAGGAGCGGGGGCGGGGCCGGAAGCGGAAGGGCCCCCCCCGGGCGGGGCCGGCCCCCACCCCCCCAAGAAGAAGAGGAAGUAGCGGGGCCGCCCCUCCCCCACCCCCGAAAUCCCCGCGUUUCACCCCAAAAAUCUGCCCGGGGGGGGG
Non-coding RNA from Agelaius phoeniceus (red-winged blackbird), 379 nucleotides. The record is from RefSeq and is a predicted model, not a curated record. Lineage: Eukaryota; Metazoa; Chordata; Aves; Passeriformes; Icteridae.